Gadus morhua (Atlantic cod) is the source of this 120-nucleotide ribosomal RNA. The record is from Ensembl. NCBI's taxonomy places the organism in Eukaryota, Metazoa, Chordata, Actinopteri, Gadiformes, Gadidae.
AUUUACGGCCAUGCCACCAUAGGCACGCCCGAUCUCGUCUGAUCUCGGAAGCUAAGCAGGGUCGGGCCUGGUUAGUACUUGGUUGGGAGACCUCCUCGGAAGGCCAGGUUGCUGUAAGUA